RNAcentral lists this long non-coding RNA (1543 nucleotides) under Scleropages formosus (Asian bonytongue). RNAcentral describes it as "lncRNA (ENSSFOG00015029326.1)". The record is from RNAcentral. Lineage: Eukaryota; Metazoa; Chordata; Actinopteri; Osteoglossiformes; Osteoglossidae.
CUGAUGCAUAGAUGAAUAACUCAGCGUAAGUAGUGUAUCUAGCAGUGUAAGUCACCUCGGUGAAUAAGGUGUGUGGGUUGAUACCACUACAUAGAGUUCAUUGGAAGUCACUUUGGAGAGAACGUGGGCUAAAUAAAUGUAAUGAAAAGCUUGUACUUUUUUUCUUUUUUUUUUUUUUUUUUGAAAACUAGCGAUCCGAACCAAGCCGAAAGAACAAACUUUUAGAUGUACCAACGCUAGCUUCAAGUUGUGUGUUUGGCAGCGGUUGAGAAGACCUCUUCUAGCUGCGCUGACAUCAACGCCUGUGGAACUUCGGGUCGAACGUGGGUCAGCUCCUCAAUGGCGGUGGAACUCCGCUACCCGGCCAGGAAAGGACUGUCUAGCUCGGGGGUCCACUUUGGCUUCUUCUCAGCGCCAAGACCAACAUUUAAGAGCUCGUGUGGCCGAGAGGAAAUCCUGGCAGCGUUAGAGAAAGGGAAGGUGAAAGACAUCUUUCUCAAGACCGCAGGAGAGAAGUGCCCCGCAGCAUCCAGCAGCGAGUGACAAAGACACCUGAGUGAAGAAGAAAGGCAAUCGGUGCCUGAAACAGAAGGAGAGCAGUUUCCAUUGAGCGUCAGCUUGACGGACUCUCUACCAGAUUCCGGAAAGGCAUCCUCACAGAUCUGAGUCGCGCCAGGCCCGUGUACUCAUCUGCUGGGGUAAAGGGGAUGUAUUUCUCCUCCGGGAGUAGAACGCCAGCGCAUUUCUCACUUCUUGCAGGUGACAAACUGACAUCUCAGAUCUGAAAAUACCGCCGUUCCCACUUGGCCAAGCAAUAACCCGAGCUGCUGGAGCCUCAGAAAAUGUGAGACGUGUGGUCCAAAUCUUAUCACGAGUUCUCCCAGCUUGUAGACACGUCUGCUUACCGGUCAGGAGCGAGAGAAUUGCCCUUCAGGUUUUGACAGUUACAAUGGACUUUGCUACAUGAAAGAGCUGUAGCAUCCUGAACUGACCACCAGCGUUUCACACUGUUUAACGUUCCAGGCAACAGUAAGACUGACCAUAACAUGGUAAAGCUGAUACGGCCAAAUUAAGUUUUAAAUACAUCGCACACGAUUAGCUCAUGCUCUGUUACUCUGUAACUACAUGCUGAACAAUGAAGAUACAGGAUGUUGCAUAACUGUGGGUAAUUAAAGGUAAGCCUUUUAUUCGUGUCAGUAUUUUAAGUCUGACAAGUCGUUUGGUUUAGUGGAGCAAGCACAUGGAAUUUAAAUAGGCUUUCAGUCACUGCACAGGUAAUUGCGGGAAUACCUGAUGAAUACCUAAUAUGCGGUUCGAUGCUGCACCUAUUUCCUCUAGAGUUAUUUAUAUUCUUCCUUCGUAGCAGAGAUGUUGUCCAUUUCCUCCUAUAUUGAAAAUGCAUAUUUAAACACCUGCCUCGGCUUCCAUCGUGAUGUACACAGUCAUUACAGUGUGGUACAAAAGGACAGAAAAGGACUUUCUAGGAAGAAAGACGUUGUAUCACAUUAUGCAACUUUUCUCUUUUUUUUGUAUCCGUGUAUAG